GCGGGUAUAGUAUAAAGGCUAAUAUGCGACCCUUCCAAGGUCGAGCUGGGGGUUCGAUUCCCCCUACCCGCUCCA
RNAcentral lists this transfer RNA (75 nucleotides) under Candidatus Uhrbacteria bacterium RIFCSPHIGHO2_02_FULL_53_13. RNAcentral's name for it is "tRNA-Gly". It matches the Rfam family "tRNA". From Rfam's summary of the family: Transfer RNA (tRNA) molecules are approximately 80 nucleotides in length. Their secondary structure includes four short double-helical elements and three loops (D, anti-codon, and T loops). Lineage: Bacteria; Candidatus Uhriibacteriota. The record is from RNAcentral. RNAcentral also lists the same sequence under 2 other names.